CCUACGGGAGGCAGCAGUGAGGAAUAUUGGUCAAUGGGCGAGAGCCUGAACCAGCCAAGUCGCGUGGGGGAAGACGGUCCUAUGGAUUGUAAACCUCUUUUGCCGGGGAGCAAAAAGCGGUACGUGUACCGCAUCGAGAGUACCCGGAGAAAAAGCAUCGGCUAACUCCGUGCCAGCAGCCGCGGUAAUACGGAGGAUGCGAGCGUUAUCCGGAUUUAUUGGGUUUAAAGGGUGCGCAGGCGGCGAGUUAAGUCAGCGGUAAAAUUUCGGGGCUCAACCCCGAAAAGCCGUUGAAACUGGCUGGCUAGAGGGGGCGAGAAGUAUGCGGAAUGCGUGGUGUAGCGGUGAAAUGCAUAGAUAUCACGCAGAACUCCGAUUGCGAAGGCAACAUACCGGCGCCCAACUGACGCUCAGGCACGAAAGCGUGGGUAUCGAACAGGAUUAGAUACCCUUGUAGUC
This 459-nucleotide ribosomal RNA is filed under the name uncultured bacterium. Its description in RNAcentral is "partial 16S ribosomal RNA". It matches the Rfam family "Bacterial small subunit ribosomal RNA", at positions 338 to 795 of the family's 1533-position model. The record is from RNAcentral.